UACGUAGGAGGCAAGCGUUAUCCGGAAUGACUGGGCGUAAAGGGUGCGUAGGUGGUUUGACAAGUUGGUAGCGCAACUCCGGGGCUCAACCCCGGCCCGCCGUUGAAACUGGCAGUCUCGAGUUGGAGAGAAGUAUGCGGAAUGCGCGGUGUAGCGGUGAAAUGCAUAGAUAUCGCGCAGAACUCCGAUUGCGAAGGCAGCAUGCCGGCUCCACACUGACGCUGAGGCACGAAAGCGUGGGUAUCGAACAGG
This 252-nucleotide ribosomal RNA is filed under the name uncultured Bacteroidales bacterium. RNAcentral's name for it is "partial 16S ribosomal RNA". It matches the Rfam family "Bacterial small subunit ribosomal RNA", at positions 524 to 776 of the family's 1533-position model. The record is from RNAcentral. Lineage: Bacteria; Pseudomonadati; Bacteroidota; Bacteroidia; Bacteroidales.